RNAcentral lists this ribosomal RNA (254 nucleotides) under uncultured bacterium. Its description in RNAcentral is "partial 16S ribosomal RNA". It matches the Rfam family "Bacterial small subunit ribosomal RNA", at positions 524 to 777 of the family's 1533-position model. The record is from RNAcentral.
UACAGAGGUCUCAAGCGUUGUUCGGAUUCAUUGGGCGUAAAGGGUGCGUAGGUGGCGCCGUAAGUCGAGUGUGAAAUUUCGGAGCUUAACUCCGAAACUGCAUUCGAUACUGGCGUGCUUGAGGACUGGAGAGGAGACUGGAAUUUACGGUGUAGCAGUGAAAUGCGUAGAUAUCGUAAGGAAGACCAGUGGCGAAGGCGGGUCUCUGGACAGUUCCUGACACUGAGACACGAAGGCCAGGGGAGCAAACGGGG